This 929-nucleotide ribosomal RNA is filed under the name uncultured bacterium. RNAcentral describes it as "bacterial SSU rRNA". It matches the Rfam family "Bacterial small subunit ribosomal RNA", at positions 12 to 914 of the family's 1533-position model. The record is from RNAcentral.
UUUGAUCCUGGCUCAGAACGAACGUUGGCGGCGUGGAUUAGGCUGCAAGUCGUACGAGAUGCCAGAGCUUGCUCUGGCUAUCUAGUGGCGAACGGGUGAGUAACGCGUGGGAAACCUGCCCUCGAGACGGGGAUAACACUUCCAACGACGUGCUAAUACCGGAUACGACCACAUUUCCGCAUGGCUGUGUGGUGAAAGAUGGCCUCUGCUUGCAAGCUAUCACUCGAGGAUGGUCCCGCGUCCCAUUAGCUAGUUGGUGAGGUAACGGCCCACCAAGGCGACGAUGGGUAGCUGGUCUGAGAGGAUGGUCAGCCACACUGGGACUGAGAUACGGCCCAGACUCCUACGGGAGGCAGCAGUCGAGAGGCUUCGGCAAUGGGGGAAACCCUGACCGAGCGACGCCGCGUGCGCGAUGAAGGCCUUCGGGUUGUAAAGCGCUGUCGUGCGGGAAGAAAGGUCCAGCGACAAACAGUCGCGGGGCUGUGACGGUACCGCAGAAGGAAGCUCCGGCCAACUCCGUGCCAGCAGCCGCGGUAAUACGGGGGGAGCGAACGUUGUUCGGAAUUACUGGGCGUAAAGGGCGCGCAGGCGGCCUCGUAAGUGGGAUGUGAAAGGUCCUGGCUCAACCAGGGACGUGCGUCCCAUACUGCGGGGCUUGAGUGCAGGAGAGGAUGGGGGAAUUCCCGGUGUAGCGGUGAAAUGCAUUGAUAUCGGGAGGAACACCAGUGGCGAAGGCGCCCAUCUGGUCUGCUACUGACGCUUAGGCGCGAAAGCUGGGGGAGCAAACAGGAUUAGAUACCCUGGUAGUCCCAGCCGUAAACGGUGAGCACUAGGUGUGGGGGGCAUCGACCCCUUCCGUGCCGCAGCUAACGCAUUAAGUGCUCCGCCUGGGGAGUACGACCGCAAGGUUGAAACUCAAAGGAAUUGAC